UUCUUGGGGGUGCACUCCCUUUGCGGAGAGCUGAGAUAAUACCCGUGACCUGAUCCGGAUAAUACCGGCGUAGGGAAGAGAG
Molecule: non-coding RNA, 82 nt
Filed under: uncultured Porphyromonas sp.
Lineage: Bacteria; Pseudomonadati; Bacteroidota; Bacteroidia; Bacteroidales; Porphyromonadaceae
Source: RNAcentral